GCAACUCACUCCAUAAUUCUGAUAAAACAGAGCACUUUCGAAGUUCUGCAUUUCAAUACAGAUCAACCUAUAGAAGACUGAAUACCUAUAUAGAAGUAUGCAUAAUCUCUAUCCUAAGUUGGACAAAAAUGCCAAGACGACUUCUCCUCCACAUUCAACGUGUUAUGGAUAUAGUUCUCCAUGAACCAGCAGCAAGUGGGCAUUCCACUAGCACCUUUUGUACCAACAAGAAAUCAAGAAAAGAAAAUCCUUCAUCAGAUCAAGUGCAACAAACACCAGCCACUAAAAUUUUGAAUGCUCACAGAGGAACCCACCUAGUCUCAAGUUGGUACUUUGACC
RNAcentral lists this long non-coding RNA (339 nucleotides) under Elaeis guineensis (African oil palm). Its description in RNAcentral is "long non-coding RNA (EGUI_LNC011289)". Lineage: Eukaryota; Viridiplantae; Streptophyta; Magnoliopsida; Arecales; Arecaceae. The record is from RNAcentral.